RNAcentral lists this ribosomal RNA (492 nucleotides) under uncultured bacterium. RNAcentral's name for it is "partial 16S ribosomal RNA". It matches the Rfam family "Bacterial small subunit ribosomal RNA", at positions 29 to 507 of the family's 1533-position model. The record is from RNAcentral.
AGUGAACGCUGGCGGUAGGCCUAACACAUGCAAGUCGAACGGCAGCACAGUAAGAGCUUGCUCUUACGGGUGGCGAGUGGCGGACGGGUGAGGAAUACAUCGGAAUCUACUUUUUCGUGGGGGAUAACGUAGGGAAACUUACGCUAAUACCGCAUACGACCUACGGGUGAAAGCAGGGGAUCUUCGGACCUUGCGCGAUUGAAUGAGCCGAUGUCGGAUUAGCUAGUUGGCGGGGUAAAGGCCCACCAAGGCGACGAUCCGUAGCUGGUCUGAGAGGAUGAUCAGCCACACUGGAACUGAGACACGGCCCAGACUCCUACGGGAGGCAGCAGUGGGGAAUAUUGGACAAUGGGCGCAAGCCUGAUCCAGCCAUACCGCGUGGGUGAAGAAGGCCUUCGGGUCGUAAAGCCCUUUUGUUGGGAAAGAAAAGCAGCAGGUUAAUACCCCGCUGUUCUGACGGUACCCAAAGAAUAAGCACCGGCUAACUUCGUG